This 497-nucleotide ribosomal RNA is filed under the name uncultured bacterium. RNAcentral describes it as "partial 16S ribosomal RNA". It matches the Rfam family "Bacterial small subunit ribosomal RNA", at positions 28 to 507 of the family's 1533-position model. The record is from RNAcentral.
GAUGAACGCUGGCGGCGUGCCUAAUACAUGCAAGUCGAGCGAACGGACGAGAAGCUUGCGUCUCUGAUGUUAGCGGCGGACGGGUGAGUAACACGUGGAUAACCUACCUAUAAGACUGGGAUAACUUCGGGAAACCGGAGCUAAUACCGGAUAAUAUUUUGAACCGCAUGGUUCAAAAGUGAAAGACGGUCUUGCUGUCACUUAUCGAUGGAUACGCGCUGCAUUAGCUAGUUGGUAAGGUAACGGCUUACCAAGGCAACGAUGCAUAGCCGACCUGAGAGGGUGAUCGGCCACACUGGAACUGAGACACGGUCCAGGCUCCUACGGGAGGCAGCAGUAGGGAAUCUUCCGCAAUGGGCGAAAGCCUUACGGAGCGGCGCCGCGUGAGUGAUGAAGGUCUUCGGAUCGUAAAGCUCUGUUAUUAGGGAAGAACAUAUGUGUAAGUAACUGUGCACAUCUUGACGGUACCUAAUCAGAAAGCCACGGCUAACUACGUG